This 500-nucleotide ribosomal RNA is filed under the name uncultured Sphingobacteriales bacterium. RNAcentral describes it as "bacterial SSU rRNA". It matches the Rfam family "Bacterial small subunit ribosomal RNA", at positions 903 to 1382 of the family's 1533-position model. The record is from RNAcentral. Lineage: Bacteria; Pseudomonadati; Bacteroidota; Sphingobacteriia; Sphingobacteriales.
UUGCCAGCCCGCUCAGAAACUUAAAGGAAUUGACGGGGGCCCGCACAAGCGGUGGAGCAUGUGGUUUAAUUCGAUGAUACGCGAGGAACCUUACCUGGGCUCGAACGUAAGAUGACUGUAGGUGAAAGCUUACAUCUCUUCGGAGCAUUUUACGAGGUGCUGCAUGGUUGUCGUCAGCUCGUGCCGUGAGGUGUCGGGUUAAGUCCCAUAACGAGCGCAACCCUACCUUUAGUUGCCAUCAGGUAAUGCUGGGGACUCUAAAGGAACUGCCUACGCAAGUAGUGAGGAAGGCGGGGAUGACGUCAAAUCAGCACGGCCCUUACGUCCAGGGCUACACACGUGCUACAAUGGCCGAUACAGAGGGCAGCUACCUGGUGACAGGAUGCAAAUCUCCAAAGUCGGUCUCAGUUCGGAUCGGAGUCUGCAACCCGACUCCGUGAAGUUGGAUUCGCUAGUAAUCGCGCAUCAGCCAUGGCGCGGUGAAUACGUUCCCGGGCCUU